RNAcentral lists this ribosomal RNA (492 nucleotides) under uncultured bacterium. RNAcentral describes it as "partial 16S ribosomal RNA". It matches the Rfam family "Bacterial small subunit ribosomal RNA", at positions 29 to 507 of the family's 1533-position model. The record is from RNAcentral.
AGUGAACGCUGGCGGUAGGCCUAACACAUGCAAGUCGAACGGCAGCACGGUAAGAGCUUGCUCUUACGGGUGGCGAGUGGCGGACGGGUGAGGAAUACAUCGGAAUCUACUUUUUCGUGGGGGAUAACGUAGGGAAACUUACGCUAAUACCGCAUACGACCUACGGGUGAAAGCAGGGGAUCUUCGGACCUUGCGCGAUUGAAUGAGCCGAUGUCGGAUUAGCUAGUUGGCGGGGUAAAGGCCCACCAAGGCGACGAUCCGUAGCUGGUCUGAGAGGAUGAUCAGCCACACUGGAACUGAGACACGGUCCAGACUCCUACGGGAGGCAGCAGUGGGGAAUAUUGGACAAUGGGCGCAAGCCUGAUCCAGCCAUACCGCGUGGGUGAAGAAGGCCUUCGGGUUGUAAAGCCCUUUUGUUGAGAAAGAAAAGCAGCAGGUUAAUACCCCGCUGUUCUGACGGUACCCAAAGAAUAAGCACCGGCUAACUUCGUG